GGUGGGUGCGGGGGGGCGGCGGCGGGAAGAGUGGGGGGGGUAGGGUUGUUUGGCAGGGGCGGGCCGCAAGCGGAAGGAGGCGGACCGGCUAGGUGGGGGUGAAAUCCCGGGGCUCAACCCCGGAACUGCCGCCAAAACUGCAGGUCUGGAGGCCGGGAGAGGCGAGUGGAAUUCCGAGGGUAGAGGUGAAAUUCGUAGAUAUUCGGAGGAACACCAGUGGCGAAGGCGGCUCGCUGGUCCGGUACUGACGCUGAGGUGCGAAAGCGUGGGGAGCAAACAGGAUUAGAUACCCCAGUAGUC
This 300-nucleotide ribosomal RNA is filed under the name uncultured Methanopyrus sp. RNAcentral describes it as "partial 16S ribosomal RNA". The stretch from base 68 to 300 matches the Rfam family "Bacterial small subunit ribosomal RNA", at positions 563 to 795 of the family's 1533-position model. The record is from RNAcentral. Lineage: Archaea; Methanobacteriati; Methanobacteriota; Methanopyri; Methanopyrales; Methanopyraceae.